GGGGACAACAGUUGGAAACGACUGCUAAUACCGCAUGACACAUUGGGGUCGCAUGGCCUCGAUGUCAAAGAUUUAUCGCUUCAAGAUGGCCUCGCGUCUGAUUAGCUGGUUGGCGGGGUAACGGCCCACCAAGGCGACGAUCAGUAGCCGGACUGAGAGGUUGAACGGCCACAUUGGGACUGAGAUACGGCCCAGACUCCUACGGGAGGCAGCAGUGGGGAAUAUUGGGCAAUGGGCGCAAGCCUGACCCAACAACGCCGCGUGAAGGAAGAAGGCUUUCGGGUUGUAAACUUCUUUUAAGAGGGAAGAGGAGAAGACGGUACCUCUAGAAUAAGCCACGGCUAACUACGUGCCAGCAGCCGCGGUAAUACGUAGGUGGCAAGCGUUGUCCGGAUUUACUGGGUGUAAAGGGCGUGCAGCCGGGUCUGCAAGUCAGAUGUGAAAUCCAUGGGCUCAACCCAUGAACUGCAUUUGAAACUGUAGAUCUUGAGUGUCGGAGGGGCAAUCGGAAUUCCUAGUGUAGCGGUGAAAAUGCGUAGAUAUUGGGAGGAACACCAGUGGCGAAGGCGGAUUGCUGGACGAUAACUGACGGUGAGGCGCGAAAGUGUGGGGAGCAAACAGGAU
This 624-nucleotide ribosomal RNA is filed under the name uncultured bacterium. Its description in RNAcentral is "bacterial SSU rRNA". It matches the Rfam family "Bacterial small subunit ribosomal RNA", at positions 139 to 778 of the family's 1533-position model. The record is from RNAcentral.